UAAAGUGGUACGCGAGCUGGGUUUAGAACGUCGUGAGACAGUUUGGUCCCUAUCUACCGUGGGUGUUGGAAUAUUGAGAAGAGUUGCCCCUAGUACGAGAGGACCGGGGUGAACAUACCUCUGGUGUACCUGUUGUCGCGCCAGCGGCAUUGCAGGGUAGCUACGUAUGGACGGGAUAACCGCUGAAAGCAUCUAAGUGGGAAGCCUCCUUCAAAACUAGUAUUCCCUAUCAGGACCGUGGAAGACCACCACGUUGAUAGGCUGGGUGUGGAAGUACAGCAAUGUAUGAAGCUAACCAGUACUAAUUGUCCGAUCGUCUUACACUC
This 326-nucleotide ribosomal RNA is filed under the name Alphaproteobacteria bacterium. Its description in RNAcentral is "partial 23S ribosomal RNA". It matches the Rfam family "Bacterial large subunit ribosomal RNA", at positions 2589 to 2925 of the family's 2925-position model. The record is from RNAcentral. Lineage: Bacteria; Pseudomonadati; Pseudomonadota; Alphaproteobacteria.